Non-coding RNA from Coffea arabica (coffee), 3049 nucleotides. The record is from RefSeq and is a predicted model, not a curated record. NCBI's taxonomy places the organism in Eukaryota, Viridiplantae, Streptophyta, Magnoliopsida, Gentianales, Rubiaceae.
UUUACCUGCCACGUGUAAGUCACGUGACUUAGAAAAGGAGCGGACGAUUUGCAAUCCCGUCGUUGCAAUCUGUAAUGGGCAGUUCAAGUUCUUGUCAAUCUCGGCCGGUUUACGUCGUAACAAUCGGUAGUCCAAAAGUAGUAUAGACCCAAAACGCACGGACAGAUACGUCUAUAUGCUCAGAGGUAGUUUAACAGCUCGAAAUUCUGUUGAUUCGGACGACGAUAUUCACGUCAAGAAGAACAAGGAAGAAGAACCAGUUGCAACAUAGGAAUCGGCGUCGAUGACAGAGGACAAUUUCCCUAGGGUUUCCUCUUCUGAAUCUAUCGAUUCUUCAUCGACGAAGCAGAGAAAAAAGAGGAAGUGGGAUCAGCCUGCCGAGUCAUUGGGUUCAUCUGGAGUAGCAGCUCCUGGUCUUCUUCUAUUACCAAACUUGGGAUCCCUUCCUGGAGUUGCAUUACCUGGUGUAGCUAUAAUUCCUAGUGCUUCUUUCUCAAAUUCUCUUACUGCUAGUGCCGCAACUAUUCUGCCUGUUAUCCAGUUGCCUUUACAGCAACAUGCGACUGCCAUUGCCCAAAAAAUAAAUCAGCCUAAGAUCCAAGAUGAACUGAUAGCACGAGAAAUUGUUAUCAAUGAUGCUGAUUCUACUGUGCGCUAUAAGCUCACAAAACGCCAGACCCAGGAAGAGAUUCAGAAGUAUACGGGUGCCAUAGUAAUUACUAGAGGCAAAUACAGACCCCCAAAUGCACCUGCUGAUGGUGAAAAACCGUUGUAUCUUCACAUAUCUGCUGCGGCUCAUUUGGAAACAACAGCAGAACGGAUCAAGGCAGUUGAUCAUGCAGCUGCAAUGGUGGAAGAAAUGCUCAAGCAUGGGUCUUUCAGCAAUACCAUGAAUUUGUCUUUUUUUGAUCAGGUCAAUCCCUCACUGAGUGCUUGUGUGUUUUUGGGCUUUGAAGCAGAUCCCUCUCUGAAUGUUGCUGCUCGAAUUCGUGGACCAAAUGACCAGUAUGUAAAUCACAUCAUGAAUGAAACGGGAGCAACAGUUUUGCUAAGAGGACGCGGUUCAGGAUAUUGUGAUAGUGUACAGGAUGAUGCUUUUACUCUCUUUGUAGAAGGUCAACAACCAUUGCAUUUACUUUUGUCGAGCAGUAAUGCAAAAAGUCUUGAACGUGCUAAGCUCCUUGCUGAGAACCUUUUGGACACAAUCAGUGCAGAGUUUGGUGCAUCAAGGGUUUCCUCAUCUAAAGUUUAUGGUGCUGUUCCUCCGCCACCACAGUUACUUGCUGGAGUUCAGAGUUCCUUGGAUGAGUCAAACCCAAGUGUCCCACCGUCUGCCAGCUUGACUGCAUCAGCUGCACGGUCUAUUCCAUCAACAGUUUCAUCAAUCUCAAUUCCUGGUGCAUCUAGUAUUGCUUCUCAAGGGCCUGUACCACAUGCUGGAUGCUCAAAUCCUGCAUCUGGGCUGUCUCAUGCGAUUACUGGUGGUUAUUCCCUGUCUUCAUUGACUGGUGGGACGAGCUAUAAUGGUUAUGAUGGAAUAUAUCCCCAAGCAACACCUUUGCAACAAGUUGCCUUGGCCCUUAGGCAGUCAACUUCACCAGUUACUACUUUAGUAGCUCCUGCUGUUACAACUGCGAGCACAGCAUCGUACACAAGUACGUGCUCCUCAUCAGAGAAGGAUAAGCGUUCUUCACAGAAAAGAAAGUUUCAGGAAUUACCAGCAGUAGUUAAAAGCCUAGCAAAUACAAACCAGGUAUUUUCUCUGAUCUUUUAUGAAGCUAACAGGCUGAUACUGGACUUCUCUCGUGGACACUAAUGUGUUUCACAGGGUUCCUUGUUCUGGAGGUGGCAUGGGUUGCUCUAUGCUGUACCAUUUUCGUCUGGACUGAAUUAAGAUUGUGAUUCCCUCUGGCGCAGAAUUACAUAUAUGCUCCUGUAUUUCUUUGUGGAUCAUGCAUUGUUUGAAUUUGUUUAUUUUUAAUUUUUAAGGAGUGAUCAUAAGUGUUGGAUUUGGUAGUUUAGCUGCUUCAUUUCAUUCAUCUCCUAAAUGCUUGAGGUGGCUUUGGAUUCAUUUUAGUUGCCAAUCUAUUGGAGUCACUCAUUUUAAGUCCGGCUUUAAUCUUUAUUGUGCAACUACCCUAAAAACUACAUGAUUAAUUCACAGUUUACACAAAGGGAUGGCAUAAUCCUACAUGUGGGCUGCCAUUGAGCCCUUAUAUCACUUUAAAUAGUUUCUGUGGCUGCUUCUGCUUGUGGGUAUAUGUUUUCUCUAUAUUCCAGAUGCAGGAAUAUAUAAUCAAGACCUUAAGGCGUCAAAAUGUUUUGCUGUAUUUUGUUUCUUAUUGCCACAUUUUCUGCUGAUAUUGAGGAUUUGUUUGGAACCUUUCUUGAAACUGUUACAGGGAUCAGAACUUGCAGAGCCAUGUGAACAAACAUCAGAUAUACAUGGAAAAGAUAUUAAAAGGUUGGUGCAGACAUCAGCAAAUGGAAUAAUUCCAAUCCCUCCAAGAACAAUGCCCCCGCCAACAAUGCUGCCACCCCCACCAAAAUUUACUACAUCAAGACCUGGAAUUUAUGGUGGCAACAGCAUCAACAAUGGCUUGAAAUCUGAAAGUGUACCUGAUACAUUAAUCAAGUUAAUGGAAUAUGGGGAUGAGGAUGAGGAUGAUGAUCUUGAUGAACCAAAUGAAGACUCCAUCAAAAGAUGCUCCAGUACUUUGGUGGCUCCAAAACCAUUCUGGGCUGUCUGAGUCGCAUGUAGCAUCGUUGUCUGGCCUCCCGUGGAGAUUUUGGCCGCAUAUUCUUCUUGAUGCUGUAGGCUCUUAUGCGGAAUUUCAGUUUUAGAAUGUGGUAAAAUUUUGGUAUACUGCAUGUUCUGUGCAAUUUUGUAGCUCUAUUUCAAUUUUUUUGUGGAAUUCUUGAAGAUCUGUUGGUGCUAAUGCGUCACUUUCUUACAUAGAAUGGAUACGGUGUAAUAGAGAUUAUCCAGUUUUAUUUCCGGGAAGGUUCUUGUAGUAGAUUUGUCGAUCAUGUCAUUGAGGCAGCAAAA